This 478-nucleotide ribosomal RNA is filed under the name uncultured bacterium. Its description in RNAcentral is "partial 16S ribosomal RNA". It matches the Rfam family "Bacterial small subunit ribosomal RNA", at positions 28 to 507 of the family's 1533-position model. The record is from RNAcentral.
GAUGAACGCUGGCGGCGUGCUUAACACAUGCAAGUCGAACGGGAAACCUUUUAUUGAAGCUUCGGCAGAUUUAGCUGGUUUCUAGUGGCGGACGGGUGAGUAACGCGUGGGUAACCUGCCUUAUACAGGGGGAUAACAACCAGAAAUGGUUGCUAAUACCGCAUAAGCGCACAGGACCGCAUGGUCCGGUGUGAAAAACUCCGGUGGUAUAAGAUGGACCCGCGUUGGAUUAGCUAGUUGGCAGGGUAACGGCCUACCAAGGCGACGAUCCAUAGCCGGCCUGAGAGGGUGAACGGCAACAUUGGGACUGAGACACGGCCCAGACUCCUACGGGAGGCAGCAGUGGGGAAUAUUGCACAAUGGGGGAAACCCUGAUGCAGCGACGCCGCGUGAAGGAAGAAGUAUCUCGGUAUGUAAACUUCUAUCAGCAGGGAAGAUAGUGACGGUACCUGACUAAGAAGCCCCGGCUAACUACGUG